AACGAACGCUGGCGGCAUGCCUAACACAUGCCAGUCGAACGAGACCUUCGGGUCUAGUGGCGCACGGGUGCGUAACGCGUGAGAACCUGCCCUUAGGUUCGGAAUAACUCCCCGAAAGGGGUGCUAAUACCGGAUAAUGUCUUCGGACCAAAGAUUUAUCGCCUUUGGAUGGGCCCGCGUUGGAUUAGCUAGUUGGUAGGGUAAAAGCCUACCAAGGCGACGAUCCAUAGCUGGUCUGAGAGGAUGAUCAGCCACACUGGGACUGAGACACGGCCCAGACUCCUACGGGAGGCAGCAGUGGGGAAUAUUGGACAAUGGGCGAAAGCCUGAUCCAGCAAUGCCGCGUGAGUGAUGAAGGCCUUAGGGUUGUAAAGCUCUUUUACCCGGGAUGAUAAUGACAGUACCGGGAGAAUAAGCUCCGGCUAACUCCGUG
Molecule: ribosomal RNA, 433 nt
Filed under: uncultured bacterium
Lineage: Bacteria
Description: partial 16S ribosomal RNA
Rfam family: Bacterial small subunit ribosomal RNA
Source: RNAcentral